GUGGUUGCAGGCGCCGCGCUUCUCUUUGCUUCUUUCGAGCUCUGUCCUCUACAGUUUCCAUGUUUCAGUAACAGAAUCUGCCAAUGCACAUAUGUAAAUAAGGUAAAGUUUUUGAACAAGUAAAACUCUAGCUUUUUUUUCUAGCGCGAUACUGAGCGAGCAUUAAAUCGUUAUUGCAGGAUGAGUUAAUGGAGUGUUACAAAGGAAUACAAGAGAGAGACACAGUAGUGGAAGAAAACGAAGGAAGCACUGAGACAGCAGUAAAUGUGCUUGAUCAGCAAUUCUCAAGCUGCUGUGAAAGCGAUAAGAGCAUCACAAUCACAGCUUCUUCACCAA
Molecule: long non-coding RNA, 336 nt
Filed under: Capsella rubella
Lineage: Eukaryota; Viridiplantae; Streptophyta; Magnoliopsida; Brassicales; Brassicaceae
Description: long non-coding RNA (CRUB_LNC002383)
Source: RNAcentral